This is a non-coding RNA of Phascolarctos cinereus (koala), 348 nucleotides long. The record is from RefSeq and is a predicted model, not a curated record. Lineage: Eukaryota; Metazoa; Chordata; Mammalia; Diprotodontia; Phascolarctidae.
CUCUGCUCUUAGCACAUCCUGCCUCGAAGUACACUUGUACAUGUGUUGUCCUUCCAAUUGGAUCACAAGCUUUCUGAGAAAAGAUUAUUUUGGCAGCUGUGUUGAAGACGGAUUAUAAAAGGGAGAGGCUAGAAGAAGGCGGACCAACCAGGAAGACUUGGCAAUAAUCCAGGUUAGAGUGUCUGAUCGACUCUAGAGACAGAAGGUAUGGAACAAAGCAGAAGAGACAAUUAGAUGGAGAACCCUGACCUGUGAGACUUAAUUUGAUGAUGAAGACGUAUUUGUUUUGCUGUUGUCCAGACGUGUGUGGCCCGCAUUUGGAGUUUUCUCGGCAAAGAUAGUAGAGCG